GCCAGUUUUCGGUCAGCACCGGGGGGAAGGAAGCACAAGUUGCAGCAGAUCCAGUCUCACCAGUCUUUCUCCAGCAAAGACUGAAAAUCUUGUGGAGUUGGUUUGGAAACACAGGAAGUGCUGACCAGAGGCGUGAGCUGUGAAGGUUUGGUUUGAAUGGGGAAACCAGCUAACUCAUGUUUCAGUGUACUGUCACACACAAGUUUGUGUGGCCCUGGCUUGGUGACGGACCUCCCCUGUGAGUGCAGUACCUCAUGGUUUGGGUCUCUGAUUGUCACAUGGACACCAAAGUGAGGGGAGUGGGUGAAUGUCUUCAAAUCCCAAGGCUCCAACAAGGAAUACCCUGAAUAGAUUGGAAACGACACUCAGGAGGAAUAUUCCCUCUCCAGGACUCACCGGUCACCAGCAUGUCUUCAGGAAUCUCCUCAAUGAUGCAUUUUUCCUCCUGUUCUCCGAGAUCAAAAUACAUGGCUGC
Toxotes jaculatrix (banded archerfish) is the source of this 475-nucleotide long non-coding RNA. RefSeq lists it as uncharacterized. The record is from RefSeq and is a predicted model, not a curated record. The transcript has 4 exons. Lineage: Eukaryota; Metazoa; Chordata; Actinopteri; Toxotidae.